GCAGGAAUCUGUCCCAUGAGAUUAUUGUGAGACAAAUUCAAGUAUCUCAGAGAAUUAAGAUUUCCUAUGGAAUCUGGAAUACUCCCAGAGAAUCUAUUGGAGGAUAAGUCAAUCGUUGUAAAGGUAUCCAACAAUCUCAGCAAUGUCUGAUCCAAGCCUUUCAAAGUGAACUUCAACACUAGAAAUCUUAGAAACGCGUCCUGAUCAUUUGUCGUGUUUUCCUUGGCAUUUAUCAUGCCCUGGAAAUUCUUGAAAUAUCUAUCAGGUAACGAGCCAGAAAAUGCAUUUCUCGAUAUAUCCAAGACUCGCAACUUGGGAAACGGAUGCUCGGCCUUUGAACCCAGCAACAUAUUACCAUCAAACUUGUUAGACCUCAAGACGAGGACGCGGAGUCUAGGGAGUGUUUCCAUCCAGAAGGGAAACACAUCUCGUAUUUCAUUGUCACCAAUGUCAAUGCUUCGAAUACCUUGGCAGUUGAUUAGGGAGUGAGGCAGUGCACCUUCCAAUUUAUUGCCAUUCAGAUUAAGUGACUGAAGACUACAUUCCUUUGUAAAUGUUGAUGGAACGAGGCCUGUGAUAAAAUUGUCACUCAAAUGCAGAACCUCCAAUGAUUUGCUGAAGUUGCCCAAGCACUCUGGAAUUGCUCCUUCCAAAUUGUUGUUUGAUAAAUGCAGAAAUUGAAGGGAUCUCAACUUGCAAAUAGAUGAUGGAAUUUCUCCAUUGAAUUUGUUGGAGUAGAAUAAAAGAAUAGCCAGCUCUGAUAGAUUUCCGAUGCUGGAAGGUAUUGGACCUGAAAAUUGUUUUAGGCAAGGAUGAUGAAAAUUCAAGAUUUUAUCUUUUAAAACUUAAAGAAUUUAUUUGAAAGAAUAUUGAAAUCAUACCACUUAAAUUAUUGUUGAAAAAGCCACAACUCACGAAUGGCUGUCAUGUUCUCAAUUUCUUUUGGAAUAUUACCUGCAAAUUUUUAAAAAGUCAACCAAAAUAUAAUUAAUUUAAUUUUAAGUAUAUAUUGACAUGUUAGCUACUAAUAGUAUAUUCCAAAAUGUAGAAUACAUAUUCAUAUAAUUCUUCAAAUUUUUGUGGAGAUUAUAUUGAAUGUACACAUACCUUGCAAAUAUGUAAAGAUACUAAAAAUGAAUAAAAUUUGUCAAAAUACAUAGUUUUGUGGAAUAGUUAAUUCCUCCACAAUUCAAGACAAGUAUACUGAACAAAAUUAAGUUUGAAAAUGCUGAACAAAAGUUUAGUAUGCUAUGUUUGUUUUGAUUUCUCCCAUUGUUUUCUAAAUAAUUUUCAUUUUGGACUUUUUAUCCUUUACACUUAUAAUUCUUUUCUAUCUUAUUACGUUUUUUAGUCUAGGUUAAUUAGUCAGAUAAUUACUGAUCAUCUAGCAUUUUGAAGUACUUUUAAGAUGUCAUGUAUAUUAUAAUUCAAAAAAAAAAGAUGUCAUGUACUAUAUUAAAAAAAAAAAAAAAAAUACUAAACACGGACAUACAUGAUGCUUCUAUCAAUAUGUGAUGUAUACUAUAGAUAUAUGACGAUUUAUAUAGCAAUGUCAUGUAUUUCAAACUUGAAACUUCAUAUACUAUUUCUUCAAAGCGUCACAUCUAUACCUAUUAUAAAGGCGCCUUGUUUUACAAAAUUUGAUAUACCAAUUAUAUCUCUUACAUAUACUUAAUUUAAGGUCAAUUGUGUAAUUUAAUAUAUUAAACAUAUAAUAAAUCUAAAAAUAUAUUAUGGUUUAAUUAUGUGUUAUAUUUUAGUAGUAAUUAUUUAAGUAGUGGUAUCCAUUAGAAUUCUUCAUCCACAUAUAUUAGUAUUUUUUAUUCUGUAAUUUAAUAAUUUAGAAUUAUAAUAGAAAUUAUUUAUUUAAUAUUUUUAUUAGAAGUUUAAUUUUGGUAGAAUCUUUAGAAUUAAAAUUAUUUAUGUUAAGAUGAAACCUAUAAAAUAAACAUGAAUUUCAUAUCAAUCUUGUUUUCUUUUUGGUCAUGCUUUUUUUUCUUUCUAAUGAUGACAAAAUUAGGUGAAGUUUAAUUAAUUAUUUAUUAAAAUAUUUUUUAAUGAAAAUAAAAGGUUUAUUUAUUAAAAUAAUUGCUUUUUACGUGCAAACACACAUCAUCUCUGUUAGUAUACAAAAAAGACACUCACAGAUGACGCUUUUUAAUAUACUCAAAAAAGAUGUACGUAAUAAAAAAAAUAUCAAGUAUGCUCAAUUUUCUAGCAGUGAUUUGAUUUAUUUAGAGAAGAUGUUGUCACCGUCAACGAAGAAUGUUAAAUUAUAGAAACACAAAAUAUGGUGGAAUAAGCAUUCCUUAUGACAGCACAUCCAAAUACAUUAGUGUUUAUAAGGGAGUAGAAAGAGGCAUAGUAUCGUACCGCUUAAAUUAUUUCCAUUUACCAUUAAUUCAUUAAGAGAUGUCAUGUUCCCGAUCUCUUUUGGUAAUGAUCCACUAAAUUUAUUUCCCCCGAGCAUCAACCUUAUCAAAUUAUCAAGCUGACCAAUCUCUUUUGGAAUGUGACCUGUCAUGUAUAAAGUCAUAAGAGUUUAAUUUAACUAUGAAAUAUAAUAAAUACUCCUUUCGUUUAUUAAUUACGACCUGUUUUGCCAUUUUGAUCCGUGCACCCAUUCUUAACUCAUUCCACUUUUAAUAAGCUUUUCACUUAUAAUAAAGUGAGCUCCCUAUUUCACAACACACACCCCAAUUUCUUAAAACUCGUGUCAUUAUAAAAUGGGUCAAAAAAUGAUGGAUGAAGGGAGUACUAUGAAAGACGACUAAUGGAUUAAUUGCAAAAAAAAAAAUCAUUAAUUUUGGCCUUAAAGACGAUUUAUUAAGUGAAAAUUUAAAAUGCUCGCAUCCACUAAAGUCUAUAUGAAAAAUACUCACUUUUAUAAAUAUAUGCAUUUUAUGUCCAAAUAAAUUGAAUUUUCCCAUAAUAUCUCAAUCUUAUUGUACUUGGGAGAUAAUACCUUAUACAUUCCUAGCAUGUUCCGAAAGAAAGAACAAUUUAACAACGAUCAAUCAAAAAUCUAUCUAGCCGACAAAUAGAUGAGAUGCCGCCCAGCGCCCGGAUCAUGAUAUAGCAUGGGGCUAUGUCAUUUAGCCUAUCUAGCUAGCCUCCCGGUCAAAUGAUUGGCCGUCAGACGGUUAGAUGAUCUAGUUGUCGGUUAGAUGGAGUUUGACCGAUUGUUAUUAAAUCGUUCACUUUUUCAUAUUUUUUUAUAUUAUUUAUGACACAAUUGUACUUGUGUAAGACUUUUUAUAAAACUCAAGCAAAGUCAUCAACAGGUAUUUAAGUUUGUUCCCUUAACUUGGGUUAGUUCCACCAUGCACCUAGGUGCAUGUACACUCCCCCGUUGAUCUUGCGACUACUAAUGUCUUUAGUACUAGUUAAAAUUAAAUUAAUUAAAUAAUAAAGUCACGUGUGCACCUGAAAAUGUAAUCACUCAAUCUUAAUAAACACAAAGAUGAAUAACACAGAACAAAUCAAGUAUUUAGAACAAAAUAUAAACCAAAGACAAAAGAAAAAUAGAGGCCAGAAUUGUGUCAUUCAAUGAAAAAAUAGUCAAUUCAACAACUCUUAUAAAUCCUACAAAAUUUAAAAAAACUACAUCCAAUAAAAGAAAGACUACAACUAAUUAAAAAGAAAGGAAAUAGACAAAUAAUAUGUAUGUAACUGGAAUAAAUAAGAGAGAUCGCUCACCCUCAGCUUUAGAUGCUUGACGCUGAUCAUGUAACUGCAAAGAAAAAGAAGUGAUGGUUAGAUCCGUAAACAACAUUUAAAGAAACACCAUCAAACUGCAGAGCACUCAACAGACUCUCACUUCGUCNUGCGGUAUUCGCCCCACGAGAGUAUUCAUUGAAACGUUAAAUUUCGACAGAAAUGUCAAUCUGGCCAGCUCACUCGGGAUUUCUCCACCCAAUCUAUUUGAUGACAAGUCCAACGAUUCAAGCAGACUUAUAUUUCCAAGAGAUGCAGGAAUCUGUCCCAUGAGAUUAUUGUGAGACAAAUUCAAGUAUCUCAGAGAAUUAAGAUUUCCUAUGGAAUCUGGAAUACUCCCAGAGAAUCUAUUGGAGGAUAAGUCAAUCGUUGUAAAGGUAUCCAACAAUCUCAGCAAUGUCUGAUCCAAACCUUUCAAAGUGAACUUCAACUCUAUAAAUCUUAGAAACACGUCCUGAUCAUCUGUCGUGUUUUCUUGGCAUCUAUCAUGCCCUGGAAAUUCUUGAAAUAUCUAUCAG
Molecule: long non-coding RNA, 4235 nt
Filed under: Salvia miltiorrhiza (redroot sage)
Lineage: Eukaryota; Viridiplantae; Streptophyta; Magnoliopsida; Lamiales; Lamiaceae
Description: long non-coding RNA (SMIL_LNC002067)
Source: RNAcentral